RNAcentral lists this small nuclear RNA (164 nucleotides) under Gavia stellata (red-throated loon). RNAcentral describes it as "7SK RNA". It matches the Rfam family "7SK RNA", at positions 1 to 190 of the family's 331-position model. Rfam says of the family: 7SK was discovered as an abundant small nuclear RNA in the mid-70s but a possible function has only recently been suggested. Two independent studies have found that 7SK RNA binds the CDK9/cyclin T complex (known as elongation factor P-TEFb). The record is from Rfam by way of RNAcentral. Lineage: Eukaryota; Metazoa; Chordata; Aves; Gaviiformes; Gaviidae.
GGAUGUGAGGGCGAUCUGGCUGCGACGUCACCCCAUUGAUCGCCAGGGUUGAUUCGGCUGAUCUGGCUGGCUAGGCGGGUGUCCCCUUCCUCCCUCACCACUCCAUGUGCGCUCGGUGGAAGAGGACGACCUUCCCCGAUAGAGGCAUACCGUUCUUUUUAGAG